CCUACGGGCGGCAGCAGUGGGGAAUAUUGCACAAUGGGCGCAAGCCUGAUGCAGCCAUGCCGCGUGUGUGAAGAAGGCCUUCGGGUUGUAGAGCACUUUCAGCGGGGAGGAAGGCGGUGAGGUUAAUAACCUCAUCGAUUGACGUUACCCGCAGAAGAAGCACCGGCUAACUCCGUGCCAGCAGCCGCGGUAAUACGGAGGGUGCAAGCGUUAAUCGGAAUUACUGGGCGUAAAGCGCACGCAGGCGGUCUGUCAAGUCGGAUGUGAAAUCCCCGGGCUCAACCUGGGAACUGCAUUCGAAACUGGCAGGCUAGAGUCUUGUAGAGGGGGGUAGAAUUCCAGGUGUAGCGGUGAAAUGCGUAGAGAUCUGGAGGAAUACCGGUGGCGAAGGCGGCCCCCUGGACAAAGACUGACGCUCAGGUGCGAAAGCGUGGGGAGCAAACAGGAUUAGAUACCCCAGUAGUC
Molecule: ribosomal RNA, 465 nt
Filed under: uncultured Klebsiella sp.
Lineage: Bacteria; Pseudomonadati; Pseudomonadota; Gammaproteobacteria; Enterobacterales; Enterobacteriaceae
Description: bacterial SSU rRNA
Rfam family: Bacterial small subunit ribosomal RNA
Source: RNAcentral